CCUACGGGGGGCUGCAGUGGGGAAUAUUGGACAAUGGGCGAAAGCCUGAUCCAGCCAUGCCGCGUGUGUGAAGAAGGCCUUCGGGUUGUAAAGCACUUUCAGUGGGGAAGAAAGCCUUGGGGCUAAUACCCUCGAGGAAGGACAUCACCCACAGAAGAAGCACCGGCUAACUCCGUGCCAGCAGCCGCGGUAAUACGGAGGGUGCGAGCGUUAAUCGGAAUUACUGGGCGUAAAGCGCGCGUAGGCGGUCUGAUAAGCCGGUUGUGAAAGCCCCGGGCUCAACCUGGGAACGGCAUCCGGAACUGUCAGGCUAGAGUGCAGGAGAGGAAGGUAGAAUUCCCGGUGUAGCAGUGAAAUGCGUAGAGAUCGGGAGGAAUACCGGUGGCGAAGGCAGCCUACUGGACUGACACUGACGCUGAGGUGCGAAAGCGUGGGUAGCAAACAGGAUUAGAUACCCUAGUAGUC
This 465-nucleotide ribosomal RNA is filed under the name Vreelandella stevensii. RNAcentral's name for it is "partial 16S ribosomal RNA". It matches the Rfam family "Bacterial small subunit ribosomal RNA", at positions 338 to 795 of the family's 1533-position model. The record is from RNAcentral. Lineage: Bacteria; Pseudomonadati; Pseudomonadota; Gammaproteobacteria; Oceanospirillales; Halomonadaceae.